Molecule: ribosomal RNA, 253 nt
Filed under: uncultured Lactobacillus sp.
Lineage: Bacteria; Bacillati; Bacillota; Bacilli; Lactobacillales; Lactobacillaceae
Description: partial 16S ribosomal RNA
Rfam family: Bacterial small subunit ribosomal RNA
Source: RNAcentral
UACGUAGGUGGCAAGCGUUGUCCGGAUUUAUUGGGCGUAAAGCGAGCGCAGGCGGAAAGAUAAGUCUGAUGUGAAAGCCCCCGGCUUAACCGAGGAAUUGCAUCGGAAACUGUGUUUCUUGAGUGCAGAAGAGGAGAGUGGAACUCCAUGUGUAGCGGUAAAAUGCGUAAAUAUAUGUAAGAACACCAGUGGCGAAGGCGGCUUACUGGACGGAAACUGACGUUGAGGCUCGAAAGCGUGGGGAGCAAAAAGG